CCGAUGUCGACCGAAACGGAGUAACAUGCUACGAAAGUGCUCUAUCCCCGCCUUACCCCCCACAGGCAACACUGCCUACAGUUUUCACUAUAAUUGUAAGCAAUAACUUCUGCUGAGGGAAACGGCAUCAUUGAGUGAGUAUUUUUGCUCCUUCUCUCUGGACUGAACUGUCAUUCAAAACACAACAAAGAAUGGAUCGAGACUCAAUUUGUUGUCCAAUAAUGAAUACGCAGCAGCAAUAACUUGCCGUGCAACAAACCGAGCCGAGCAUCAUCUAAAAAGAGAUUCCUGCACCGGUGGCAAAUAUCCUAUCGUCGGAUUUCUCCAUGACGGUUAUUUGGCAUUCAGAGAACGGCAUUCAGCAACGGAAUAGGCAAAAGAAUGGCAGAAAUUUCCGAAACUAAUAAGAUCACGGGAAUACGCGUCAUAGCGUUAUAACUAUCAGAAACACCGCAACAAAAAUGUGUUUUGGUGUAUUAUAAUAUAUGCUGCAUGCAGUGAGGAAGACGCUAGGAAUCAUUCCCAGCAUGAGACGUUUCGAUUUAUUAAUUAAUCACCGUCGAGCCGAUUCAUAUCGCUCUAUAAGGCUAACAAUCGGAAACCGCCCGAUUGAAUCAUGCUGAUAAUAUUCUGGAUGUAGAAACAUUAUUGAUAUUAGCGCAUUACCAUACGGAUUCAUCUGCUAACGGAGAACAUUUUCUAUGUGAUCCGAAAAGUUCCUUAUUGGCAACGGUUAUGAAUAUGGAUAUUCCUGGAGGAUCCAAAUUUAAACCAAUCAUCGAGGAUAAUAGCUUCAGUGGUGAAUAUUUCAAAGUCAAAGAGAAUGUCAUGGUAGGUUUUCAAGAAUCAGGUAAUCAGUAGUGUUCAGGUAAUAGCUGCUAUUCAAACAAUAUAACAUCAUUGGAUGUCGAAAAAGGUCUCAUUUGCUAUCAUGCACAGCAACACAACAUGUUUCAGUUUUGGUUUGAAUGUUUUCAUCAAAAUUGCGUCAAUGCACUAAGACUGGUACCAAGCUCCAAACACUGGCUCCUUCAAUAGAGAGGACCUCAAUUCUUUCAGUGUACAUUUUCGGCCCUGUCAUCAUCUCGCUAUCGUUGUUGAAUCAAGAAAAAAAUCUGAGAAAAAAAUCAUUCGUUCAAAACAUUCGACCUCAAACUGCAUCAGGGAGAUUUACUGGCUUUUGGAGGCUCAGACAAGAUGAUUGACAGUUUAUUAUACGUAAUGAAUGAGAGAACACAUUCCGGAACUGAAGUAGUUUGAGCUGUGCAGGUUGUGUGGUUUUGUUAACCAUUGUGAAUUGUUACGUUAAUGUAAACAAAUCGUUAUUCUCACAAUGUCCAGUAUGAGCGAUCCAUCAAUCCAAUACCAGACGAUGUCAGUGAUUAAUAUGAUACAGGGAUAUAUUGUAGAGUUGUGUUUCACAGCCACUGUAAUUGUGAGUGUGACGAAAUGUUGAUCAAACUAAGUAGU
This is a long non-coding RNA of Toxorhynchites rutilus septentrionalis, 1470 nucleotides long. RefSeq lists it as uncharacterized. Lineage: Eukaryota; Metazoa; Arthropoda; Insecta; Diptera; Culicidae. The transcript is spliced from 5 exons. The record is from RefSeq and is a predicted model, not a curated record.